RNAcentral lists this ribosomal RNA (432 nucleotides) under Rhodotorula sp. DMKU-SP432. RNAcentral describes it as "LSU rRNA". It matches the Rfam family "Eukaryotic large subunit ribosomal RNA", at positions 141 to 570 of the family's 3401-position model. The record is from RNAcentral. Lineage: Eukaryota; Fungi; Basidiomycota; Microbotryomycetes; Sporidiobolales; Sporidiobolaceae.
AGUUGUAAUCUCAAAAAGUGUUUUCCGCGUUGGACCGCAACAAGUCUGUUGGAAUACAGCGGCGUAGUGGUGAGACCCCCGUAUAUGGUGCGGACGCCCAACGCUUUGUGAUACACUUUCGAAGAGUCGAGUUGUUUGGGAAUGCAGCUCAAAUUGGGUGGUAAAUUCCAUCUAAAGCUAAAUAUUGGCGAGAGACCGAUAGCAAACAAGUACCGUGAGGGAAAGAUGAAAAGCACUUUGGAAAGAGAGUUAACAGUACGUGAAAUUGUUGGAAGGGAAACGCUUGAAGUCAGACUUGCUUGCCGAGCAAUCGGUUUGCAGGCCAGCAUCAGUUUUCCGGGGUGGAUAAUGGUAGAGAGAAGGUAGCAGUUUCGGCUGUGUUAUAGCUCUCUGCUGGAUACACCUUGGGGGACUGAGGAACGCAGUGUGCCU